CGCGGCCUAUCAGCUUGUUGGUGGGGUAAUGGCCUACCAAGGCGACGACGGGUAGCCGGCCUGAGAGGGUGAUCGGCCACACUGGGACUGAGACACGGCCCAGACUCCUACGGGAGGCAGCAGUGGGGAAUAUUGCACAAUGGGCGAAAGCCUGAUGCAGCGACGCCGCGUGGGGGAUGACAGUCUUCGGAUUGUAAACCCCUUUCAGUAGGGACGAAGCGCAAGUGACGGUACCUGCAGAAGAAGCACCGGCCAACUACGUGCCAGCAGCCGCGGUAAUACGUAGGGUGCGAGCGUUGUCCGGAAUUACUGGGCGUAAAGAGCUCGUAGGCGGUUUGUCACGUCGUCUGUGAAAUCCUCCAGCUUAACUGGGGGCGUGCAGGCGAUACGGGCAGACUUGAGUACUACAGGGGAGACUGGAAUUCCUGGUGUAGCGGUGAAAUGCGCAGAUAUCAGGAGGAACACCGGUGGCGAAGGCGGGUCUCUGGGUAGUAACUGACGCUGAGGAGCGAAAGCAUGGGUAGCGAACAGGAUUAGAUACCCUGGUAGUCCAUGCCGUAAACGGUGGGCGCUAGGUGUGGGGUCCUUCCACGGACUCCGUGCCGUAGCUAACGCAUUAAGCGCCCCGCCUGGGGAGUACGG
Molecule: ribosomal RNA, 642 nt
Filed under: uncultured Actinomycetes bacterium
Lineage: Bacteria; Bacillati; Actinomycetota; Actinomycetes
Description: bacterial SSU rRNA
Rfam family: Bacterial small subunit ribosomal RNA
Source: RNAcentral